UAAAGACAUGGGACUAUAGCGGACACCAGUACUCCAAGAUGGCGUCGGUCAUACCAUUGAAGGACAGGAAACUUCUGGACGUCAAACUAGGAGAGCUGCCAAGCUGGAUCUUGAUGCGGGACUUCAGCCCUAGUGGCAUUGUUGGAGCAUUUCGAAGAGGUUACUACCGGUACUAUAACAAAUAUAUCAACGUGAAGAAGGGGAGCAUCGCGGGGCUUACCAUGGUGCUGGCAUGCUACGUGGUCUUCAACUACACCCUUUCCUACAAGGAGCUCAAGCACGAGCGGCGACGCAAGUACCACUGAAGAAGACAAGCUCUGCACUCCCCUCCGUGACCUUCUUGGCUUGAGCCCCUCCAUAAGGAACAGUCUCGAUUAUUGCUGAAUCCUUUCAUAUCCUAAUGGAAUUAACCUCCAAAUAAAAGAUGACUGGUAAAAAAAAAAAAAAAAAA
RNA transcript from Sapajus apella (tufted capuchin), 451 nucleotides. It is a transcript of the gene named ATP synthase subunit f, mitochondrial pseudogene, with no coding region annotated. Lineage: Eukaryota; Metazoa; Chordata; Mammalia; Primates; Cebidae. The record is from RefSeq and is a predicted model, not a curated record. The transcript has a single exon.